RNAcentral lists this long non-coding RNA (418 nucleotides) under Brassica napus (rape). RNAcentral describes it as "long non-coding RNA (BNAP_LNC010340)". The record is from RNAcentral. Lineage: Eukaryota; Viridiplantae; Streptophyta; Magnoliopsida; Brassicales; Brassicaceae.
AGUGGUGGUAUGAUAGGUAGACGAUUUUGAACUUUUUUGGAAUGUUUAUAGUACUGUAAGUAUUAACUCGGAGGUUAAAUUAACAUGAAAUUUUUAACUUUAUUUGGAAAACCACUUGAGUUCAAAAUUAACAUGCAAUUUAAGUCUGAGCCCUAAGUUUCAUAUUCUUCCAAUGAUUUAUAAGAAAUAUUUAACAGCCCUAGUAGGAAGCUCACAUAAAGAUUGUCGGAGACCGUUUGUUCUCUUAUUCUUAAAGGGCAACAACCUGUUUAGGACCAUAUAAACUCAUAAGUUUGGCGCUAAUAGUUUUUUUUGUUUGGAACACAAAAAAAAUAGUUUACUUACUAAAGUUGUGUUUAAAAAAAAAAGUUUGUGUUUUAUUGGAAGAGGUAAGAAAAAAGUAAGAGACGGAAACUAU